GAGAUUGAAUACAUAGUUUCUCAUUUGUUAACGGAAUUCCAAAGCACACCAAGAUCAACAUUGCCUCCAGAAAUUACAAUGCCAAUAUUAUUGCAUUUACUAUAGGCUGGAUUUGUUUUAAAACUACUGGAAAGAACUGCUGCAAGGCCAAUAGCUCCACUUGGUUCCACUGCAAUCUUUAGAAUUUCAUAGCAAAGUCUCAUAGCUUGUAUUAUCUCUUCAUCAUCAACAACUAUGACGUCAUCCACGAGAUCACGGACGAUAGGCCAUGUAAGGUCUCCAAGAAAGGCUCGAAGCCCAUCGGCAAUAGUGUUGACCUCGGAUAACUUAGUGAUCCUGCCAUUGAUCUUCGACUGGAAAGCAUCAGCUGCUCCCAUUGGUUCGGCGGCAAAAAUGUGAAUGGAAGGAUUAAUGGCUUUGGCAGCCAACGCAACUCCCGAUAUCAGACCAC
Molecule: unclassified non-coding RNA, 451 nt
Filed under: Hevea brasiliensis (rubber tree)
Lineage: Eukaryota; Viridiplantae; Streptophyta; Magnoliopsida; Malpighiales; Euphorbiaceae
Source: RNAcentral